UCCGAGGAGCAGUGAAAACUAAGUUCUGUGAGGCGUUUAAAGACGCGGAGGUGACUGAAAGUGCAAGAGUCACAACUCAGCAGAGACGCAGGAGGAACUUCAUGCGUCUGUGAAGGAGAAGAAACAUGGAACGUCAUGAGAGCUGUGGGCGUCUUCGGGAUUGUCAUCAUCACUCCUGCUUGGGGACGUCCUCUUCUCUAAGGACAUGUGGCUGUUCCAGGGGGAGAAUGUGACAGAAGGCUUUAGAAAAUAACAGUCUGAGGUGAGGUAAUCACAUGGAAACAGCAGAACGGACACCUUUAGAUUCUCUAUUCCCAGGAGGUACAUGGAGCGUUCCACCCCCUCUCUCAGUCUCGAAAUGGAAACAUCCUCUUAGACUCUUGGGAUGCACAUCUGAAAUUCAUCCAUCAGUUCUCUCUGGUGUAUAUAAAUAUCCAUGUGGAGCAGUCACCCACACGGGUUUGUCCUAUAAUAUGGGAGCCACAGAUGGGAAUGGAUGGGUGUGAUUCAAGUAGGUGGUAAAAUGCUGCGAGCGAA
Solea solea (common sole) is the source of this 537-nucleotide long non-coding RNA. RefSeq lists it as uncharacterized. The transcript has 3 exons. Lineage: Eukaryota; Metazoa; Chordata; Actinopteri; Pleuronectiformes; Soleidae. The record is from RefSeq and is a predicted model, not a curated record.